Molecule: long non-coding RNA, 1740 nt
Organism: Rhineura floridana
Lineage: Eukaryota; Metazoa; Chordata; Lepidosauria; Squamata; Rhineuridae
Exons: 4
Source: RefSeq, a predicted model, not a curated record
UCUCCCGUUCUCCAGUUUGUGACGCAGCUGUAAAAAACCGAGUACUGAGCAGCCGGCCAUUCCACCUGCAUGAACUUGAAACUUGAACAGAGGAUGGAAUAAGAACAAGUGUUAACAAAUCAGCUCACAGUGCCAAGAAGGGAUGAAGGGAGCCCUUACUACUCUAUCCAGAGGGAAGUGGUUCAGGAAUUUUAAAUCCAAGAUGGCGAGGUAAUUGCCAUUGCAUUUGGGGACUGUAAAGAACACAGAGAAGACUCCUGAGGACCGCUGAUGCUCUGGCAUGGGUUCUAUGGCACCUAUCUCGAGGAGAAUUCCAGAACCGGAUGGUACAUCAUGUAAAAGAUCAAAUCAAAUGUGCAGAUUACCAGCAGGUCUGUUGAAGAUCUGGGUGGAGUCCACCGAUCUAAUCCUGCAAGGAGGUCAAGAAAUAACUCAGUCGGUGAAGUUGGCCACACGUCCCAGGAGCUUGUAGGCCUGAGCAUGUAUAUCCAGAGGACUUCGGGACAUUGCAGAAGCCAGCAGCUGCCGGCUCGUUGCACUUGUUGAGGUCAGGCAGGCAGCGCUUUCCUUCUCACUAGUGAAUUCAGUACUAGCGUCCUGGCAUUCUCUAGCCCUCUUCUCCAAGGAGACUGGGGAGAAGGCAGCAUAUGGGUUCCUUGCGUUCCUCCUUGAUGAAGACAAGCUCUGACUUAUGAUCACACCAGAGACUAACCUUAUUCAGCACACAGCAUAGCAAACUGCCUUAUACAGAGUCCUUGGUCCACCUAGCUCAGUAUUGCCUGCACUGACUGGCAGUGAUUCUCCAAGGUUUCAGACGGGGUUCCUGGAGACACCAGGGACUUGACCUGGGACCUUUUGCAUGCAAAGCGGGUGCUCUGCCAGUGAGCUACAGCCCUUCCCCUUCAACCUUUGUUAUGCCUGAGAUUAAGGAGAGUAUCUUCCAGACAGGCAAAUCACCCAAACUUUUCCUUGUAGAAAUCACUGACAAAACUCAUAAAGCUAGAAAUAAUAGCACCAGCACUUCCCUCCAUUCCCCUGCAAUGAAAUAUUCUGAACUUAAGCUAAAGCAGGGGCUUGUUGGAACCAGAUCCACAAAACUUUUCUGGAAAUAUGCUGGAAUUUUAAGUGGCUCAGAUCAGCCUGCCCAGGUACUAAUGAGUGAAUGCAGGGAAAUGAUUAAGACAGUUUGUUGCAACACAUACACAAGCAAUCUGCUAGUUCCCCUUCCAUUUCCCUAAUUCACAAAACUAAAUGCAAAAUGAUUAAGUAAAAAAAGAUAUUUAUAAUAGAGAGACUCGCUGUUGCUUGCUUGCUCGCUCUGUCAAGCAAGUGUACACAAAAAGCCCCACCCCUAAACUAAAGAAAAAACUUCCUCAAAGUAGGAAACACUCCCAGUUGCUUCUCUGGUUACCAAUGGGAAAGUCUGCCUUUCAAGGAAACAGCACUAAGCAUGCUCAGAACCAGGCUUAAGCCAUCACACAGGGCUGUUCUUGAGGCAGGCCUGACUCCUCCCUAAUCUGCUAUACUGGCUGCGCUGGAUAAGCCUCAUAACAACAGAUGAAGUUGGAAGUCUUCCUAGUAGGGCUGACAAGCAGGCAGUCCAGGGAGGGGCCUCUUCGCCAUAGCCACACUUUUGGCCAGAGAAUGGGAAACUGAUUGGCCAGAGAACAGGAGACUGACAGAAAUGCUUUCAUAAGCCUCUGUAAAUUCAGGAAAUAAUAAAAUAAAUAAAUGUGCAGG